This 1805-nucleotide unclassified non-coding RNA is filed under the name Hevea brasiliensis (rubber tree). The record is from RNAcentral. Lineage: Eukaryota; Viridiplantae; Streptophyta; Magnoliopsida; Malpighiales; Euphorbiaceae.
UGAAUCUGUAGCUUUCGAUUAGUUUUCUGUUUCUUUUUUCUUCUUUGUUAAGGUUCUUUUUUGUUUACGCAGAGAUUACAUAGAGUCGCCUAAAAGUUGUUCUUGUAGGCUUAGAUCACCAAUAUAUGAUCUGGGUAUGAUCUAUUUUCUGUAAAGAUCCGACCUUUAUGUGAAUUUUCUAGGUUUGAUAGCUUCUAGGUCUUAAUUUUGACUUUUCUUGAUCUGGGUAAUUGUUAUAUUUGUCUAUCUAGAGCUAAAGAUGAAGGAAAAGCUAGGGUUUUUAGUGUGUGUUUGGUUUCUUGUAAUUGGGUCUUGUUUGGGUAGAUUUGUGGUGGAAAAGAAUAGCUUGAGGGUAACUUCUCCAGACUCGAUCAAAAAUGUGUAUGAGUGUGCAAUUGGGAAUUUUGGGGUUCCACAAUAUGGAGGAACUAUGGUUGGUAUUGUUAUGUACCCUAAAGCUAAUCAGAAGUCCUGCAAGGAUUUUGCAGAUUCUGAUAUUUCAUUCAAAACUAAGGCUGGUGGUAUGCCUGUUUUCGUCCUUGUCGAUAGAGGAGACUGCUAUUUCACACUUAAGGCUUGGAAUGCUCAAAAGGCUGGAGCUGCUGCUAUUCUUGUUGCUGAUGAUCGCAAUGAACCUUUGAUUACCAUGGACACUCCUGAGGAAGAGGAUGCAAAGGCAGAUUAUCUGCAAAAUAUAACUAUUCCGUCAGCUCUAAUUAGUCAAUCGCUUGGGGAUAGCAUCAAGAAGCAACUAUCUAAAGGGGAGAUGGUUAACAUAAACCUGGAUUGGAGAGAGGCUCUUCCGCAUCCUGAUGAAAGAGUUGAGUACGAGUUUUGGACCAACAGUAAUGAUGAGUGUGGUCCUAAGUGUGAAAGCCAGAGAGAGUUUGUCAAAAACUUCAAGGGGGCUGCCCAGAUACUUGAGCAGAAAGGUUAUACACAGUUUAGUCCCCAUUACAUAACUUGGUAUUGUCCUGAGGCAUUUAUUUUGAGCAAGCAAUGCAAGUCUCAGUGCAUCAACCAUGGGAGAUACUGUGCUCCAGAUCCUGAGCAAGACUUCAGCAAAGGUUAUGAUGGGAAGGAUGUUGUUUUACAAAAUCUGCGCCAAGCUUGCUUUUAUAAGGUUGCCAAUGAUAGCGGGAAGCCCUGGUUGUGGUGGGACUACGUCACUGACUUUGGAAUCCGGUGUCCAAUGAAAGAGAAGAAGUACGAUAAGGAGUGUGCAGAUCAAGUAAUCACAUCCCUUGGUUUUGAUGUAAAACAGAUAGAUAAAUGUGUUGGAGAUCCUGAAGCUGAUGCUGAUAACCCUAUUCUAAAGGCUGAACAAGAAGCUCAGAUUGGAAAGAACUCUCGUGGAGAUGUGACUAUCUUGCCAACUCUUGUGAUAAACAAUAGGCAGUACAGAGGCAAGUUGGACAAGGGAGCUGUUCUGAAGGCCAUUUGUUCAGGUUUCGAGGAGACAACUGAGCCUGCAAUUUGCUUAACCGAUGAUAUACAAACAAAUGAGUGCUUAGAGUCCAAUGGUGGGUGCUGGCAGGACACAGCUGCCAACAUUACUGCAUGCCGGGAUACAUUCCGUGGGAAAGUCUGUGAGUGCCCGACGGUUCAGGGAGUAAAAUUUGUUGGUGAUGGUUAUUCUCACUGUGAAGCAUCUGGAGCAUUACGCUGUGGAUUAAACAACGGAGGUUGUUGGAAGGGAACCAAGGAUGGAAGGACAUAUUCUGCCUGCAUAGAUGACCACACAAAGGGUUGUAAAUGUCCACCAGGGUUCAAAGGAGAUGGAGUGAAUCUUUGUGAAGAUAUUG